Triplophysa rosa is the source of this 522-nucleotide long non-coding RNA. RefSeq lists it as uncharacterized. Lineage: Eukaryota; Metazoa; Chordata; Actinopteri; Cypriniformes; Nemacheilidae. The record is from RefSeq and is a predicted model, not a curated record. The transcript is spliced from 3 exons.
CAUUGCGUUUAUAAUCCACCAAUCAAACACUACUUCCUGAAGUGACUCGAGAAGCUCAACGCUGCGCACAGUUGUGUGCCUGCAUCAGUUCAAAAACAGAGAGGGGCGCUUUUAGCAAGACCACACUCAACAAUGACGGUCCGUGACUUCUCUUCCGGGGAGGCUUCAUCAAAUCUCUUCAUGGCUAAUCAAACCAUGUUGGAACAAACAUCAUUCAGUAUCAGGAGCAAUGGAAGACUUUCAUGUUGGCUUGGGAAUAAAACCGGUUCCUCUUAAGUCUUCGUUAUUGUGGGAUGAAUGAUGCUGGAGGAAGACCGUCUUUUACAAGCAGUUGAUACAUGUUGUAUAUUUGCAUUUUUGAGUAUGCCAAGCCUGGUGGUGCUGCAACAUUUUUAGCUAGACUAGCCUCUGUUCUGUUUAUUUAUUUGAUUCUUGUAAAUUGAUACUUAACUGCUAGUAACAUUAUGAUCAAAGGAAGUACAUUCAUAAAACAACUGCAACCAAUCUUAUUGUAUUGGAAAU